RNAcentral lists this ribosomal RNA (781 nucleotides) under Streptomyces anulatus. Its description in RNAcentral is "bacterial SSU rRNA". It matches the Rfam family "Bacterial small subunit ribosomal RNA", at positions 68 to 864 of the family's 1533-position model. The record is from RNAcentral. Lineage: Bacteria; Bacillati; Actinomycetota; Actinomycetes; Kitasatosporales; Streptomycetaceae.
GAUGAAGCCCUUCGGGGUGGAUUAGUGGCGAACGGGUGAGUAACACGUGGGCAAUCUGCCCUUCACUCUGGGACAAGCCCUGGAAACGGGGUCUAAUACCGGAUAACACUCUGUCCCGCAUGGGACGGGGUUAAAAGCUCCGGCGGUGAAGGAUGAGCCCGCGGCCUAUCAGCUUGUUGGUGGGGUAAUGGCCUACCAAGGCGACGACGGGUAGCCGGCCUGAGAGGGCGACCGGCCACACUGGGACUGAGACACGGCCCAGACUCCUACGGGAGGCAGCAGUGGGGAAUAUUGCACAAUGGGCGAAAGCCUGAUGCAGCGACGCCGCGUGAGGGAUGACGGCCUUCGGGUUGUAAACCUCUUUCAGCAGGGAAGAAGCGAAAGUGACGGUACCUGCAGAAGAAGCGCCGGCUAACUACGUGCCAGCAGCCGCGGUAAUACGUAGGGCGCAAGCGUUGUCCGGAAUUAUUGGGCGUAAAGAGCUCGUAGGCGGCUUGUCACGUCGGAUGUGAAAGCCCGGGGCUUAACCCCGGGUCUGCAUUCGAUACGGGCUAGCUAGAGUGUGGUAGGGGAGAUCGGAAUUCCUGGUGUAGCGGUGAAAUGCGCAGAUAUCAGGAGGAACACCGGUGGCGAAGGCGGAUCUCUGGGCCAUUACUGACGCUGAGGAGCGAAAGCGUGGGGAGCGAACAGGAUUAGAUACCCUGGUAGUCCACGCCGUAAACGUUGGGAACUAGGUGUUGGCGACAUUCCACGUCGUCGGUGCCGCAGCUAACGCAUUAAG